This 480-nucleotide ribosomal RNA is filed under the name uncultured bacterium. Its description in RNAcentral is "bacterial SSU rRNA". It matches the Rfam family "Bacterial small subunit ribosomal RNA", at positions 21 to 518 of the family's 1533-position model. The record is from RNAcentral.
UGCUCAGGACGAACGCUGGCGGCGUGCCUAACACAUGCAAGUCGAGCGAGGAGAUCCUUCGGGAUGAUCCUAGCGGCGGACGGGUGAGUAACACGUGGGCAACCUGCCUCAUAGAGAGGAAUAGCCUUCCGAAAGGGAGAUUAAUACCUCAUAACAUUGCAGUUUCGCAUGGAACAGCAAUUAAAGGAGUAAUCCGCUAUGAGAUGGGCCCGCGGCGCAUUAGCUAGUUGGUGAGGUAACGGCUCACCAAGGCGACGAUGCGUAGCCGACCUGAGAGGGUGAUCGGCCACAUUGGGACUGAGACACGGCCCAGACUCCUACGGGAGGCAGCAGUGGGGAAUAUUGCACAAUGGGGGAAACCCUGAUGCAAGCAACGCCGCGUGAGUGAUGACGGCCUUCGGGUUGUAAAGCUCUGUCUUCAGGGACGAUAAUGACGGUACCUGAGGAGGAAGCCACGGCUAACUACGUGCCAGCAGCCGC